GACGAACGCUGGCGGCGUGCUUAACACAUGCCAGUCGAACGGAAAGGCCCUGCUUUUGUGGGGUGCUCGAGUGGCGAACGGGUGAGUAACACGUGAGUAACCUGCCCUUGACUUUGGGAUAACUUCAGGAAACUGGGGCUAAUACCGGAUAGGAGCUCCUGCUGCAUGGUGGGGGUUGGAAAGUUUCGGCGGUUGGGGAUGGACUCGCGGCUUAUCAGCUUGUUGGUGGGGUAGUGGCUUACCAAGGCUUUGACGGGUAGCCGGCCUGAGAGGGUGACCGGCCACAUUGGGACUGAGAUACGGCCCAGACUCCUACGGGAGGCAGCAGUGGGGAAUAUUGCACAAUGGGCGGAAGCCUGAUGCAGCAACGCCGCGUGCGGGAUGACGGCCUUCGGGUUGUAAACCGCUUUCGCCUGUGACGAAGCGUGAGUGACGGUAAUGGGUAAAGAAGCACCGGCUAACUACGCG
Molecule: ribosomal RNA, 468 nt
Filed under: uncultured bacterium
Lineage: Bacteria
Description: partial 16S ribosomal RNA
Rfam family: Bacterial small subunit ribosomal RNA
Source: RNAcentral